GACGAACGCUGGCGGCGUGCUUAACACAUGCAAGUCGAACGGAAAGGCCCAAGCUUGCUGGGGUCUUCGAGUGGCGAACGGGUGGGUAACACGGGGGUGAUCUGCCCUGCACCCGGGGAUAAGCCGGGGAAACUGGGUCUAAUACCGGAUAGGACCGUGCUUUAGUGUGGGCGGUGGAAGGUUUUUCGGUGCAGGAUGAGCCCGCGGCCUAUCAGCUUGUUGGUGGGGUAAUGGCCUACCAAGGCGGCGACGGGUAGCCGGCCUGAGAGGGUGUACGGCCACAUUGGGACUGAGACACGGCCCAGACUCCUACGGGAGGCAGCAGUGGGGAAUAUUGCACAAUGGGCGCAAGCCUGAUGCAGCGACGCCGCGUGGGGGAUGACGGCCUUCGGGUUGUAAACCCCUUUCGGCAGGGACGAAGCUUUUGUGACGGUACCUGCAUAAGAAGCACCGGCUAACUACGCG
This 465-nucleotide ribosomal RNA is filed under the name uncultured bacterium. RNAcentral describes it as "partial 16S ribosomal RNA". It matches the Rfam family "Bacterial small subunit ribosomal RNA", at positions 28 to 507 of the family's 1533-position model. The record is from RNAcentral.